UCCCGGCAGCCAGAAGACAUGCAGCUGGGGAGUCCACAGCUCUUGAAGUCACAGCAAAGGAUUCAGCUGUCAGAUCCCGUGGAUAACAUGGCUCCUCCACUUCUGCUUUGACAUCUUUGGAGUUUCCGGGUGCAAAAGACAUUGGCAAGCAGAUAUCUCAAAGCCAGUGAUGUUCCACUAGCCCUCCUGGAGUGUCAUUGUGUACACAUUAUCCAAAAACUCAGGAAGGCCAGGAGGCAAAGGAGGUUUUGUCAGACCCCUCUGCCUCAAAACAGUCUGGGUGUUGGUGUUUGCAGCACAAGCACAGAUAACCAUCCCCUGGGACAGCCCAUUUCUGUGGGAUUGGGAUCCAGCUCUUCAGAUCGAAGGUCACUGAGUGCUCAGACCAGCUGGAUCAAGGCUGUUCCCUCUGCAUGGCAGAGAAGGAUUUUCCCCUUGCUCAUGCCCUCCUCACCACUUGCGUAGAGGGCUCAGUUAGGCUUUGGAUCAGACCCCCUCCCUGAAGAAUAACAACUGUAACUUAGGUAUUAGAGACUGCUCAAAGAAGUGACGGGAGAUGGAAGAGCCCAAGCAGCGGCCUUUGUUAUUGCUACCCAGUGAGGAGUUUGGGAAGAGCUGUUCUAAGUAAUCACGCUUUGUUAUUAAUUGCUGCCUGCCCUGGUGUGUUCAUCCUAGUUUGGGCUUCAAAAUACAGCUGAUCGCCUCUGUUCUGCAGCAGGAAAGAUGUCUGUUAAUAUCAUAUACUCAGUCAGAUCCGAUAAUCUGAGGGAAGAUCGAGGGCAGAGGAACAAGCCUGCAGAUUUCUACCUAGACUUCUCCCUGGGGACAACUGAACUUCAAGUCACCAGAAGCGGCACAUCCUCAGGAUCUUUCAGGACCAUGUCCACAUUUCCUCAGGAACCCUUUAACAAGGCAGCUGGCAUCAGACAGCUCAGUUCCUGUGGUCAGUGA
RNAcentral lists this long non-coding RNA (951 nucleotides) under Apteryx owenii (little spotted kiwi). Its description in RNAcentral is "lncRNA (ENSAOWG00000017627.1)". Lineage: Eukaryota; Metazoa; Chordata; Aves; Apterygiformes; Apterygidae. The record is from RNAcentral.